Molecule: long non-coding RNA, 826 nt
Organism: Raphanus sativus (radish)
Lineage: Eukaryota; Viridiplantae; Streptophyta; Magnoliopsida; Brassicales; Brassicaceae
Exons: 4
Source: RefSeq, a predicted model, not a curated record
GAGAAACAGACAGGGUUUGUCCUCAAGAAGAUAGAAUCAUUGAUGGUGUCAGAACUGGAUUAUUAUGUGCUCAACUUCCACCGCAGGACUACUAUGAAGCUUUCAGAUUGAACUCACUUAAUCUUAAUGGCCGAGGCAAAGAGCUUUGUCUUUUUUCAGGGCAUAAGAUAUGAUGUCAUUGGGAGGCUUAAAUCUUACAAGCAUGAUUGGAGCAGUGGUUUCAGAUAUGGAUUAAGGGUGUUCAGGAAGGAGAAGAUAAAUUGAGUUAUAUUUAGUUAUGUAGAGCAUCAUGUUUCACAGUGCCUUGAACAAGACAUGAACCAAGAUCGCUUGGUCUCAUGGAGCCAACAUAGCGAAACUGAUAAAGAGGAAAGAAGGCUGAUCAUCAGCAGGACACAAGGAUCGAUGACAAUAUGGCGACGCUGGAGACUUUCACCCUACAGACGUCCUUAUACCAGUUGGUUUGAUGAUUCUGAGAAGUUAGGGACUCUUGAUCUUUGCAUUCCAGCGCAGAAAGAUACCCAGAUUUAGUGCUAUAAUCUCCUGAUGGAAUCUUAAGCCACACCAGUCUGUCUGGAGCCCCGAUCAAGCUUGGUUUGAUGAGUCUGGUACUCUGUUACUCUGUUGGCGGUACUCUUCAAUCGAAGCAAACUCAACAUAGGCAAAUUCACAGAAACGGCCAUCGCGUCCUAUAGCCAUUGUAACAUUAAUAACUUGGACAGCUUAUUUGAAGAAGCUUCUCGCUUUGGAGGAAAACAAUAGUAAAAUCAAUGGAAAACUUUCAAAAAAUGACCAAAGGUGUGUGUGUGUGUGUGUGUGUGUGUGU